RNAcentral lists this transfer RNA (65 nucleotides) under Dalbulus maidis (maize leafhopper). Its description in RNAcentral is "tRNA-Phe". The record is from RNAcentral. Lineage: Eukaryota; Metazoa; Arthropoda; Insecta; Hemiptera; Cicadellidae.
AUUCGAGUAGCUUAUUAAUAGAGUAUGUCGUUGAAGUUGAUAGGGAAAUUUUAAAUUCUCGAAUA